This 200-nucleotide unclassified non-coding RNA is filed under the name Capnodiales sp. Its description in RNAcentral is "partial internal transcribed spacer 2". Lineage: Eukaryota; Fungi; Ascomycota; Dothideomycetes; Capnodiales. The record is from RNAcentral.
UUAAGUUCAGCGGGUAUCCCUACCUGAUCCGAGGUCAACCUGAGGAGAGUUUAACGGCGUGACCGCCCAUCUCGCCAGCGAAUUGAUUUACCACAACGCUGAGAUCUGGGUCGUCCAGUCGGCAGACAUUCGGGCCCGGGUGAAGCCCCGGGGCCCAAUACCAAGCCAGGCUUGAGUGGUGUAAUGACGCUCGAACAGGC